GUUCACCCUUUUGUAUGUGAGCAAUGUUUUUUCUUAUGUGCUAUACAAAUAGUUGAAGGUUAAUUGGCAAUGUAACUAUAAAUAGUAAUGCUGCCAGUCUCCUUCAGACAAAA
Molecule: small nucleolar RNA, 113 nt
Filed under: Otolemur garnettii (small-eared galago)
Lineage: Eukaryota; Metazoa; Chordata; Mammalia; Primates; Galagidae
Source: RNAcentral